UUCUAGCUCAAGGCAGUUAUUUGAAAUGUUAAUGUGGGUGCGACUUUGGACAUUUGAAGUAUGAAAUAAUGAAAAGUAAAGUUCACUUCGCAAUGUAUUCUCUGUCGUUUAAAUUACCCAUGUGAAUGCAAUGGUUUAUAAAUGGGUGUACACUGCUAUUGACUGAAGUACAAGAACAAGCUUGGUAAUGUAUGCAAGGAUGCCCGGAGGCAUGAUACAUUGGGGAAACCGAACAAAGGCUACGACAAUGGAUGAAUAGGCACCGCACAACAAUCGACAGGAGGGUUCCCUCCCAGUUGGGGAACACUUCAGUGGUGCAGGACAUUCAGCCUCGGACCUUCGGGUGACCAUCCUCCAAGGUGGACUUUGGGACAGGCAGCAGAGGAAAGUGGCCAAGCAGAGGCUGAUAGCUAAGUUCGGUACCCAUAGGGAGGGCCGCAACCGAGAACUUGGGUUCAUGUCACAUUACAGGUGAUCACCAUUGCACUACACACACACACAGAUAUUCCUACACACACACACUCUCACAUACACAUGGACACAGGUACACACAGGCACCCACACACACCCUUAUAGACACACACACUUCCACGCUCACACAUGCACCCCCUCGCCGACUUAAGACACUCUGUAUCCACCACAAACACACACAUUCUCACACUCACAACCCCCACCCCAGACAGACAGACACACACAGACAAAGACCCACAUGCAUACAUAUAUUUUGUGUGGUGAAUUUUUAUUGCAGAGUUACAUUGCACUUUGCUCAAAAACUGCAUAUAUUCAUGUAGAACUCUGAGCUCAAAAACUGCAUGAAUUUAUGUAAAACACUGUUAUCUCACUUUUUAGAUUAGAAUCAAUUUAAACAUCAGGUCAUAGACAGAGAACACAGGGCACUUUUCCCUGCCACCAUAGGAACUGUAAAACCUGUGCCCACACCUCCUCCCUCACCUCUAUCCAAGGCCCUAAAGGAGCUUUCCACAUCCAUCAAAGUUUUACCUGCACAUCAUUUAUUGUAUCCGUUGCUCCCGAUGCGGUCUCCUUUACAUUGGGGAGACUAGGCGCCUCCUAGCAGAGCGCUUUAGGGAACAUCUCCGGGACACCCGCACCAAUCAACCACACCACCCCGUGGUCCAAUGUUUCAAUUCCCCCUCCGAGGGAUAUGGAGGUCCUGGGCCUCCUUCACCGCCGCUCCCUCACCACCUGACGCCUGGAGAAAGAACGCGUCAUCUUCCGCCUUGGAACACUUCAACCCCAGGGCAUCAAUGUGGACUUCAACAGCUUCCUCAUUUCCCCUUCCCCCACCUCAUCCUAGUUUCAAACUUCCAGCUCAGCACUGUCCCCAUGACUUGUCCGGACUUGUCCGACAUGCCUAUCUCCUUUUCCACCUAUCCACUCCACCCUCUCCUCCCUGACCUAUCACCUUCAUCCCCUCCCCCACUCACCCAUUGUACUCUAUGCUACACUCUCCCCACCCCCACCUUCCCCUAGCUUAUCUCUCCACACUUCUGGCUCACUGCCUUUAUUCCUGAUGAAAGGCUUUUGCCCGAAACAUCGAUUUCGCUGCUCUUUGGAUGUUGCCUGAACUGCUGUGCUCUUCCAGCACCACUGAUCCAGAGAACACAGGGGGCCAACACCUUCAACAUAUUGUCUAGCUAUCAGCAUUGUUAGCAGCUAACCGGAGAAUGCAACUUUAAAAAGAAGGGUUUUGUGAUUUACACAUGAAAGAAGUGAAACUAUCACUGUAUUCUAACAGAUGAAAGGCUUAACAGACAAUCAAUGUUUCAAUGUAUAAUUUCAGUAACAUCACACUGCAAAUUUUUGCUAUAAAUUCUAUGUUACGAUCGAGCCCUCCACAAUCACCUGAUGAAGGAGCAUCGCUCCGAAAGCUAGUGUGCUUCCAAUUAAACCUGUUGGACUAUAA
Long non-coding RNA from Hemiscyllium ocellatum (epaulette shark), 1924 nucleotides. RefSeq lists it as uncharacterized. The transcript is spliced from 2 exons. Lineage: Eukaryota; Metazoa; Chordata; Chondrichthyes; Orectolobiformes; Hemiscylliidae. The record is from RefSeq and is a predicted model, not a curated record.